UCUCGUCUCCUUCAAGGACCGAUUUGGAGUCAGCUUGUUGUUGUUGUUCUUCGCUUGCCUAUGCAAAUCCUU
RNAcentral lists this small RNA (72 nucleotides) under Arabidopsis thaliana (thale cress). RNAcentral's name for it is "ATSL064600". The record is from RNAcentral. Lineage: Eukaryota; Viridiplantae; Streptophyta; Magnoliopsida; Brassicales; Brassicaceae.